RNAcentral lists this ribosomal RNA (465 nucleotides) under Vreelandella stevensii. RNAcentral's name for it is "partial 16S ribosomal RNA". It matches the Rfam family "Bacterial small subunit ribosomal RNA", at positions 338 to 795 of the family's 1533-position model. Lineage: Bacteria; Pseudomonadati; Pseudomonadota; Gammaproteobacteria; Oceanospirillales; Halomonadaceae. The record is from RNAcentral.
CCUACGGGUGGCUGCAGUGGGGAAUAUUGGACAAUGGGGGGAACCCUGAUCCAGCCAUGCCGCGUGUGUGAAGAAGGCCCUCGGGUUGUAAAGCACUUUCAGUGAGGAAGAACGCCUGGUGGUUAAUACCCAUCAGGAAAGACAUCACUCACAGAAGAAGCACCGGCUAACUCCGUGCCAGCAGCCGCGGUAAUACGGAGGGUGCGAGCGUUAAUCGGAAUUACUGGGCGUAAAGCGCGCGUAGGUGGCUUGAUAAGCCGGUUGUGAAAGCCCCGGGCUCAACCUGGGAACGGCAUCCGGAACUGUCAAGCUAGAGUGCAGGAGAGGAAGGUAGAAUUCCCGGUGUAGCGGUGAAAUGCGUAGAGAUCGGGAGGAAUACCAGUGGCGAAGGCGGCCUUCUGGACUGACACUGCCACUGAGGUGCGAAAGCGUGGGUAGCAAACAGGAUUAGAUACCCCUGUAGUC